This 406-nucleotide ribosomal RNA is filed under the name uncultured bacterium. RNAcentral's name for it is "partial 16S ribosomal RNA". It matches the Rfam family "Bacterial small subunit ribosomal RNA", at positions 30 to 526 of the family's 1533-position model. The record is from RNAcentral.
AUUGAACGCUGGCGGCAGGCCUAACACAUGCAAGUCGAACGAGUGGCGGACGGGUGAGUAAUGUCUGGGAAACUGCCUGAUGGAGGGGGAUAACUACUGGAAACGGUAGCUAAUACCGCAUACCAUCAGAUGUGCCCAGAUGGGAUUAGCUUGUUGGUGGGGUAACGGCUCACCUAGGCGACGAUCCCUAUCUGGUCUGAGAGGAUGACACGCCACACUUGAACUGCGAAACGGUCCAGACGCCUACGGGAGGGAGCAGUGGGGAAUAUGGCACAAUGGGCGCAAGCCGGAUGCAGCCAUGCCGCGUGGAUGAAGAAGGCCGUCGGGUUGUAAAGUACUUUCAGCGGGGAGGCGUUACCCGCAGAAGAAGCACCGGCUAACUCCGUGCCAGCAGCGGCGGUAAUAC